This 465-nucleotide ribosomal RNA is filed under the name uncultured bacterium. RNAcentral's name for it is "partial 16S ribosomal RNA". It matches the Rfam family "Bacterial small subunit ribosomal RNA", at positions 28 to 507 of the family's 1533-position model. The record is from RNAcentral.
GAUGAACGCUGGCGGCGUGCUUAACACAUGCAAGUCGAACGGAAAGGCUCCUGCUUGCCGGGGUACUCGAGUGGCGAACGGGUGAGUAACACGUGGGUGAUCUGCCCUGCACUUCGGGAUAAGCCUGGGAAACUGGGUCUAAUACCGGAUAGGACGAUGGUUUGGAUGCCAUUGUGGAAAGUUUUUCGGUGUGGGAUGAGCUCGCGGCCUAUCAGCUUGUUGGUGGGGUAAUGGCCUACCAAGGCGUCGACGGGUAGCCGGCCUGAGAGGGUGUACGGCCACAUUGGGACUGAGAGACGGCCCAGAAUCCUACGGGAGGCAGCAGGGGGGAAUAUUGCACAAUGGGCGCAAGCCUGAUGCAGCGACGCCGCGUGGGGGAUGACGGCCUUCGGGUUGUAAACUCCUUUCGCUAGGGACGAAGCGCAAGUGACGGUACCUGGAGAAGAAGCACCGGCUAACUACGUG